CCAGAGCUAUAUAAAUUCUGGGCUGAGCUAACUACACGGCCCAGCCCAGGCUGUGGCACGAAGUGGAUUCCUGAAGGCUCUAGGAAGCUGUGAAGCAGCCCUGCAAGUGAGAGCACCAAGCAGAGUGACCCAGAGACAUGGAGCCAUGGGGCUGGUGAUGAUUCUGUGAUGAUGUCUGUUGGGUGACAUUUAUAAACACGUCAUCUGCUUUGACAGGUACAAUGAGCUGCAAGGAUUUUCCAAGGAGACACUUCUGGCAGUGUAAAAUCCCUCACAUAGGCAACACAGCCCUGCUGAAUGACAACAGAAAAUGAAAGGGAAAGAGGAACUAUGUAGAUUCAGAACUGAUGUGAUCCCAGCAUACUAUGCUUCUUUGACAAGACAGCAUGAGAAUCCGUGCAAGCAGAGGUUCUUCAAUAUUUCCUCCCUCAGAACCCCAUCAUGGGUCCUAGUAAUUAAGAGAAUAAUCCUUGGAGCUGACUAAAGAA
Long non-coding RNA from Gavialis gangeticus (Gharial), 488 nucleotides. RefSeq lists it as uncharacterized. The record is from RefSeq and is a predicted model, not a curated record. NCBI's taxonomy places the organism in Eukaryota, Metazoa, Chordata, Crocodylia, Gavialidae. The transcript has 4 exons.